AAUGAACGCUGGCGGCAUGCUUAACACAUGCAAGUCGAACGGAAACGCCUUAUAGCAUGCUCUCUGGUGGACAACCGGCGAACUACACGAUGUAAUGAUCUGCCCUCUGCUCUAUGAUAGGCCAGUAACUACUGGAUCCAAUACCUAAUACCACCUCACUUCACUGUACCUGGUAGAAAGAUCUUUCGGCCUCUUAUCAUCCCACGUGCUAUCAUCUUAUUAGGCUGGGUAAUGGCCUAACGACUCACCUACGCGAAAUCCCACUGAGAUCUUGAGACGAUCACCUUGCGACUUAGAUAUGACACACACUCCUAACUCAUGCAGCAGGGAGCAAUAUUGAAUAUUGCACACUGGCCUCAUGCCUCAUCCCCCCGUGCCGCAUGACUGACUACGGGCUGCAAACUCCUUUCCCCUUUCACCAAGCAUUAUGGGACUGAACCUGAAAAAUACACCCCUUCUAACUACUCGCCAACAACCCCCCUAAUACCUACGGGGCAACCGUCGUCCUGAAUUACUGGGCGUAAACAUCUCUCAGAUGUAUUGUCACGUCAUCUGUCACAUUCCACAUCUUAACUGUGAUCUUGCAUGCGAUACCUCCUGACUUGAAUACUGUAUGAGUAACUGGAAUUCCAGGUGUAGCGGUGAAAUGCGCAGAGAUCAGGAGGAACACCGAUGGCGAAGGCGGCUCACUGGACGGAGACUGACGCUGAGGAGCGAAAGCAUGGGGAGCAAACAGGAUUAGAUACCCUGGUAGUCCACGCUGUAAACGAUGUGGAUUAGGAGGAGGUGCCUUUUGGGGUUUCUGUGCCGGAGGUUACGGCAUAAAUCGCCCGGCUGGGGGAGUACGGCCGCCAGGCUAACUCUCAUAGAGAAUUGACGGGGGGCCGCCCCAGGGGGGGGGCAAGGGGGAUAAUUUGGAGGAAAGGGGAGGACCUUACCUAGUGCUGGCAUCCAGAGAGAUUUCCGGAGAGAUGUAGGUUCCCUUGUGAGCUCUGAACCAGUGGCGCAUGGCUGUCCUCCGCUCCUGGCUUGAAAUGUUGGGUUAAGUCCCCCCACGAACGCAACCCUUGUCUUAUGUUGGCCGCACGUUCUGGCGGGGACUCAUGAGAGACUGCCAGUGUUAACUCGGAGGAAGGUGGGGACGACGUCAAGUCAUCAUGCCCCUUAUGACCAGGGCUUCACACAUGCUACAAUGGCCUGUACAAUGCGCAGCGAGCCUGUGAGGGUGAGCUAAUCUCUUAAAGCUGUCUUAGUUCGGAUUGGGGUCUGGCACUCGACUCCAUGAAGUCNGAGUCCCUAGUAAUCGCAGAUCAACAGUGCUGCGGAGAAUAUUUUCCCGGGUCU
Molecule: ribosomal RNA, 1344 nt
Filed under: uncultured bacterium
Lineage: Bacteria
Description: partial 16S ribosomal RNA
Rfam family: Bacterial small subunit ribosomal RNA
Source: RNAcentral